Molecule: ribosomal RNA, 477 nt
Filed under: uncultured beta proteobacterium
Lineage: Bacteria; Pseudomonadati; Pseudomonadota; Betaproteobacteria
Description: bacterial SSU rRNA
Rfam family: Bacterial small subunit ribosomal RNA
Source: RNAcentral
UGGGCGUAAAGCGUGCGCAGGCGGUUAUAUAAGACAGAUGUGAAAUCCCCGGGCUCAACCUGGGAACUGCAUUUGUGACUGUAUAGCUAGAGUACGGCAGAGGGGGAUGGAAUUCCGCGUGUAGCAGGAAAUGCGUAGAUAUGCGGAGGAACACCGAUGGCGAAGGCAAUCCCCUGGGCCUGUACUGACGCUCAUGCACGAAAGCGUGGGGAGCAAACAGGAUUAGAUACCCUGGUAGUCCACGCCCUAAACGAUGUCAACUGGUUGUUGGGUCUUCACUGACUCAGUAACGAAGCUAACGCGUGAAGUUGACCGCCUGGGGAGUACGGCCGCAAGGGAAACUCAAAGGAAUUGACGGGGACCCGCACAAGCGGUGGAUGAUGUGGUUUAAUUCGAUGCAACGCGAAAAACUUACCCACUUUGACAGUACGGACCUUAGAGAAGAGGAGUGCCGAAAGAGAGCCGAACACAGGUGCU